UGCUGUUAAAACCAAAAUUCCCCUUUGUAAAUGCUACUCAUCUAUCCACUGAUUCCAUCAACACAUGCAAGAAUCUAAUCUAAAAAUAGUAUAAAGUUCAGAGGAAUCAGAUUACUGCUUUCGAUUUCUACCGUGAGAAAAACACAUGCAAGAAUCUGAAAAUAGAUAGCCUAAAAAUAGAUAGAAUCAGCAUGUCAUACAGUGGAUUCUAUCCUAGCAUCAAGGCAACGCACAUCCACAGCAAGAGCUUACAAAACUGAAAAUCAGAUAUUAAUCAAUUCCAUCUAAAGCACAAAGCAAGCAAGAAUUCAGGGGCUAAUAUAUAGGUUAUUAGUACUAAAAUGAGAAGGCCAAGAUUUAGCUCAC
Molecule: long non-coding RNA, 366 nt
Filed under: Sorghum bicolor (sorghum)
Lineage: Eukaryota; Viridiplantae; Streptophyta; Magnoliopsida; Poales; Poaceae
Description: long non-coding RNA (SBIC_LNC016815)
Source: RNAcentral